ACUUAAAUAGCUUAUAUUAGAGCAUGGUAUUGAAGAUACCAAGGAAAUUUAUAUUUUUAAGUA
This 63-nucleotide transfer RNA is filed under the name Cryptocephalus tibialis. Its description in RNAcentral is "tRNA-Phe". Lineage: Eukaryota; Metazoa; Arthropoda; Insecta; Coleoptera; Chrysomelidae. The record is from RNAcentral.